Molecule: ribosomal RNA, 243 nt
Filed under: uncultured bacterium
Lineage: Bacteria
Description: partial 16S ribosomal RNA
Rfam family: Bacterial small subunit ribosomal RNA
Source: RNAcentral
GAUCCUGGCUCAGAUUGAACGCUGGCGGCAGGCUUAACACAUGCAAGUCGAACGGUAACAUAAAGAAGCUUGCUUCUUUGAUGACGAGUGGCGGACGGGUGAGUAAUGCUUGGGAAUCUGGCUUAUGGAGGGGGAUAACUACGGGAAACUGUAGCUAAUACCGCGUAGAAUCGAGAGAUGAAAGUGUGGGACCUUCGGGCCACAUGCCAUAGGAUGAGCCCAAAUGGGAUUAGGUAGUUGGUG